Molecule: long non-coding RNA, 1188 nt
Organism: Poecilia latipinna (sailfin molly)
Lineage: Eukaryota; Metazoa; Chordata; Actinopteri; Cyprinodontiformes; Poeciliidae
Exons: 2
Source: RefSeq, a predicted model, not a curated record
UUAUAAUCAAACUGAGUUAUUGAUCCUUAGAUAAAUCAGUCAGUUCAGUUUCCACUCAUGUGUUCAUGUGUUUAUGAAUGAGUGAAGUGUAAUUAUUGCAGCUGUUGACCCUCCAGAUAAAUCAGUCAGUUCCUCUCAAUAGCAGGUUUCUGUCACUGUGGAAAUGAGCUGCUUCAUUAAAUCACUGCAGCUUCAUUAACAGCUCUAAUGUCUCACUUUGGUUCUGAAAGUCCAUUUUAAUUCCCGACCAGAACCACUGAAGGCCCGACUGAAAUAUUCUAACAACACGUCAUAAUAACAUGUUCUGGUUCUGCUGGUUUGGACUCUAUAAACCAGUUUUACUGGAUCAGAUAUUAAACAUCAGUUCAUCAUGUUUCUUUUACAUUCAGUCAAAUUAAUUUUCUACAUUUUUAUUAUUAAUUUGUUCAUAUUUCAGUUUUAACCUGCAUCCUGUUGCUUCAGCUCACAUCUUUUAUUCUUUAUUCAGGUUGAUCGGAUGCAGGUUGUCAGAGAUCAGCUGUUCUUCUCUGGCCUCAGCUCUGAAGUCCAACCAACAUCUGACUGAACUGGACCUGAGCUACAACGACCUGGAAGAUUCUGAUGUUCAGCAGCUGAAACGUUUUGUAAAGGAUGUUCAGUGGUGGCCAUCAUCUUUUGAAACUAGAGAAUCGUCUCUGUUUCCUGCUGAUCCUCAGAAGCUGCAGCAGUUUGAGUCUAAAGAGACUCUGACUGGAUCAUGAUGACCUUUGACCUGAAUGGUUUCCAUCCUGUUUAUUUCCUCCUGUCUGUCAUUUUGUAUCUGAUGUUUUUCUGUUUGGAUGGAUGAAGAUGAAAUUGUAACUCGGCUCCAUUUCGAGGCUUCAUGGAGUUUUGAUCUGAACUUGGUUCAGUUUUUAAAGUUGAUCAUUUUUCUCUGAUUCAUUUUCAUCCUGAAAUAUGAACCAUGUUUCAGUUCAGCCGUUUCCAGGCUGCAUGUUGCUUCAUUUGGAUCCAGUUUCUGAUGUUUGUGCAGCUCUGGUCUUUCUAUCUGCUGCUGGAAACGACUCAGUGAGGAAAUGAUGCAAUCAAACUGUUACUGAUGAUUUUAAAUCUAAUAUUUUCAUUUCCUGCUAUUUUCUGCUGAGCUUUCAUUACCCAGUUCAUGUUUGCAUCAUCAGAAUAUAAUAUUUUCACCUUUUUGAAUUCUGC